UCCAUUGUGAAGUGGAAUCUGAAGGAAGGUGGAGGCAAAUCUCUGGUCUGACGAACAGAAAUCACAUCAGGCUACAGUUAAGGAUUAUUUC
Non-coding RNA from Blautia sp., 91 nucleotides. The record is from Rfam. NCBI's taxonomy places the organism in Bacteria, Bacillati, Bacillota, Clostridia, Lachnospirales, Lachnospiraceae.